AUGGCGGCGGCGCGACCAUGGUCCAGCCUCCAUGAAGACCUUCUCCACCGUAUCAUCCUCCUGCUAACGUGCAUCGCCGACCGCGUUAGGGCGUCCGCCGUCAGCAAGCACUGGCGCCAGGUCGCGCUGCAGAACCCGUCCCCGCUGCCAUACCUCGUCAGGCCGUCCACCGCCCGGACCGAGAGCUACCGGAUCUUCGGUCGCUUCGCCGAUCCGCGCCCGUACCUCUCCGCCGAGGGCCGCGCAGAGCGUUUCUGCGGCUCGGCUCCAGGCGGCUGGUUCGUGGUCGCAUCCCCGCAAGGGCGCGGCCACAUCAGGUGUCCCAUGAUGAUCCGCGCAGCCGCCAUGUCUGCCGCCCCGUCUUCUGGUGCCUGCGUGGUCGCUGCCAUAACGUCGACCAGGACAACCAUGGCGUUCUGCCGGCCGGGCAUGGAGUGCUGGACGUCGCUGCCGGCAGAGAUGACGGCCCGGCCCAACGCCCAAGACCUGACUUACCACGACGGAUGGUUCUGGGCCAUCGACUCAGAUGAUGACCUGUCCUGCUACAAGGCCGAACUUUCGACAUCUAGGCAAACCAUUCUACAUCUUGCCUACGGGAUUGGUGCUCCCCGGACGGACAUGGCACACGGCGAGAUCGUGUCCCGCUACCUCCUGCCCUCCGCCUCUGGCGCCGAUCUGCUGAUGGUGAGGAGAUUCAUCUCGCCGGCGACAGGCCGCACGUCCCGGUUCCAAGUCUACAGGCUACAGAAGCCACAGGUGGGCCGGCCGGCUUCCUGGCGCGUCUACAAGAUGACCCGGCAGCUGCUCUUCGUCGGCCGGGCCUGCUCCAAGGCCUUCGACACGAGACACGCCGGCAACCCGGGCUACAUCUACUUCCUCGACGACGUCUACCCUGGUGCUCCGCACGAGCAGAACGAGUAUCCUUGUGCUGAUGCCGGCGAGUGGGAUUGCUCAAUCCCUGGUGAGACCCAGCGCUGCCUGCCAUCGGCUCCACCCUCGGACACCUCGCCGUGCAUUUGGUACCACCAUUAA
RNAcentral lists this ribosomal RNA (1032 nucleotides) under Triticum aestivum (bread wheat). RNAcentral's name for it is "partial small subunit ribosomal RNA". The record is from RNAcentral. Lineage: Eukaryota; Viridiplantae; Streptophyta; Magnoliopsida; Poales; Poaceae.